UGAAAGAGAGAUAACACUCCUGAAUGACAUAAAAUGCAUAUACAAACAAAAGCAGAAGUACUUCGCAUAUUAAUUUAUACAUGACAUUUCACUGUUUAUUAUAAAUUAUAUCGAUAACGCCAAGUGAUUCACCAAACUGUGCCUAAGUUUGAAAUUGAAAUUUAAUUUCAUCUGAAAUAAACAAAAGAAACGAACACAAGUGGUUCACUGUGUGAUCUUGAAAAAUCGAACGUAAGACCAAAUUUUACUUCGCCUGUCAGCAAUACAACAUUCGAAGACAACGUUGAAGGUCAGUUAAUCGUGUUCUUCGUGUUUGAUCGAUUAACAAUUUCGUUUUGAUGUUUCAUUGGUUUUGGUUAGCAUUGGUUGGUAUUGCGUAUUGUGUACCAACCGUAGUCCACGGAGACAAUCUUACAAAAACAAUGGCAAAUAAUGACACAGGAGAACUGGUCGUCUUUGGAGCUAACGCCAAUAAUGCGGUAGUGCUCGUUUCACUUCUCAGUGAUGAUGGACAUCUUGUCGUUCAACGAAGUGGCGACGAAGUAACAACUAUUGUAAAUCCGGCCAACGCUGCCUGGAUACCCGAUCCAAAAUACAUUGUUUGUGAUGAAGUAAAGCCGGAAAAUAUUGCCAAGCGUCUAAGUGAAUUGACGAAACCUUUCCGGUUCAUUGUGGCUUUCGAUGCCGGUGAUAUGUUUGCAGAUCCAUUCUGGAACAUGAUCAUUUAUUUAGCCAAAUACGUAUCGGAAGACGAAAUCUAUUCGAAUCAGCUCCGAGUGGUUGCAAUGAACAUACCACAUGAUGAGAUUUCUUUGCAACGACAUUGAGCUGAAACGAGCAAUCACGAAUGGGCUUAAACCACAUUGUACAGUAGAUUUUCAGAUGGUAGGAAUGCAUUUCAUUGAAAAAACUGGUCCUGUUAGUGAAAUGUCAGAGCUUAAACAAGAACUGGUCGCUGUUAAAAACGCUGUCGAUCAUCUAGUUGCAUAGUGAUUUCGAUUCUAUGCAUAAAUCAUCAAAUAUUCUGUACAUCCCUAGCUAAGAUAUUAAUCGAACCAUUAAAUUUUAGUGCUUGA
Long non-coding RNA from Bradysia coprophila, 1076 nucleotides. The record is from RefSeq and is a predicted model, not a curated record. NCBI's taxonomy places the organism in Eukaryota, Metazoa, Arthropoda, Insecta, Diptera, Sciaridae.